GUUUUUGAAAUUUAUGCCAAGUUUCCUUUGAAAUCUUCCAAGUCAUAUUAUAGAUUAUUAUCAUCCAUUGAAAUCUUAAUCUUGAGCACCAAUUUUGCUUCUAAACUGACAUCUUUCUUGUUUACGCGAGUGUUUCAUGGAUCAAGCUCAGAUCAAGCGUUAAAUGCAACAACGAGACUUCAAUUCAAGUUUCAAAUAUGGUUGGAGAUGUUUGCUUGACCAUGCUUUCAGAUGAUGAGUUUUCUGACAAACAUCUCCAGCGAUAUUUGAAACUUAAAAUGAAGUCAUCGAGCAAGGAUCCAAGAGGAAAAAGCUAGGUUUUCAAGCCAAUCUCUGUGUUUCCCAAGAGCUUUGUUCUUCCAGGUAUGUAUGGUUAUUCCUAGUGAUAGACUGAGUUCGUCCUCAUGCCCUACAUCUUAAUUCAGGCAGUAAGAGUUAAAUCUAGGAUUAUACCCUUAGCUUCGAGAGUCUCUUAUAUGAGUCGAGUUAUUAUUUAUGAAUUCUAAAUUCUUGAUUAUGAAUAAUUGCACUAUAUUAUGCUUUGAGAUCUUUGAGUAAUUAUUCAUGUUGAUAAUCCCACAUGAACCCUGCUUUCUGAGUUUUGAUUGAGAAUCUUUAAAACAAGCAUCUUUCCUUAAAUUUAUUUUUGAGAAGUUAGCAUGAGUUCAAUAGCAAGUUAAAGUAUAAAUGUCUAUUUUGACAAGAGUUUAAGGGAACUAAAGGAUUCCCAAAAGUAUCAUUUUUAUGUUGAAAAGAAAGUACUAUUUUUCAGAAUGGUAUAAAGAGCUUUCAGGGAUUACAAGAAAUUGAGUACAGAGCAAUUACCUCUUAAAGAGGCCCUUUUGAGAACUUAUCUCAACCCAGAGAGUAUUUUUACUUGAGCAUUGAGUCAUAUAUUUUGAGAAUAGUAUUGAGUAUCGAUAUGGGGAAGAGUUUAGUCAAUUCACAUUCCCCAUAAACCAUGUAGCUAGUGUGGGAUAGGAUCGUAUUGACAUUUGGGCGACUCCUCACUGCCUCUGAGAACGCCUAUUAGAUGGAUCCAUGAGUUGAGUAUGUUCAAUACCCCGACAAGGUACAAGACAAUUCUGACAACGUGGGCGAGAUGCUGUAUCAUCUCAAAGCUCAUAGUGAUGGUUGUCGGUUAAAGAAUCUCCCUGAUUGAGUAAAGGGUAUUUCAUUAUCAUAUUUAUAUUUGACACUUCAUUGAGUUAACAUUUUAUUAGUAAAUCAUUUAAAUGGUUUUAUUUCUACUUAUGCUUUACAUUCAGUUGAGUAUGUUGCUUCAGCCUCUUCAGUUCAGUUAUUUAUUUUCCUCAGCUAUAUUACAUACUCGUACAUUCAAUGUACUGAUGUUAUUCGACCUGCAUCUUUUCAUGAUGCAGGUACAACUGUAGCUGUAUUAUUAUUCCAGUUUAAUUCAGACAUUAUAAAACCAUAGAGUAUUACUUGGAUUUGUUGUUUUUGAAAUUUACGUCAAGUUUCCUUUGCGAACAGCCUUCCUGUUAGGGUUCUCUUUUGGGGAUUUUAGACUUGAGAUUUCAACUUGCUGGUUCUCCUAAAUCAUUCUGGUGGAACUGGUAUGACUGAUACACCUGCUGGAGCUUGGCUAUUUGUGGUUGCUCUAAUCCUGCAGCAUGACAUAGGAGUAAACAUUUUACUAGUUGGUAAGUUGACAAACUCUCUCCUACCCUGUAAACAUGGAGUAUAGGAACUUUUAAGGUUUUAGUUGUGCUAACUAAAGUUGUGUUCUAUUAAUGUGUAGAAAUAAUAUAUGCUGAAAGAAUCAUAAAAAUGCUGAUGUAUUUUGCAAUUCAUGAUUGUAGCCAGUUCGUAUCAUGUUUAUUUAUAGGACAUCGAGUCACUUCUGUCCCUUUGGUAUUUGGUCAUUUCCUGCCAAGCUUGCUUCGUUAUAAUUCUACUAAAUUAUCCUGUUAUGUGGCGGAGAAACUUUAAUAAUGAUUAUAACUUGUUCGUCUAUACAUGAUUAAUAAGCAAUGAUCUUAAAAAUAGGUAUUUGAGAAGAAAGCCAAAAUGAUGCACAAGCCAAGGUUUCUUUCCCAUUGAAACAUGGAAGAUUCUUUUGCUAAUACCUAGGCAUGAUGCAUGUGCCUCAACAAUUAUUUCUGAAACAAGGCAUUGUUAGGUCGGAUUGAUACUGCAUUUGCCUUUCAAAAUUAUAAUGUGCAGAGGUAGGUCAAAAUUGAUUAGGCUUUCAGUUCCAUACUAAGAUUGACCUCUUGGAAAUCUUUAAGAUGUGCGGUAGUGUCUUUCAAUGGAAUUUCAUGAUAUUCUUUUUGCGAGUUCAUUUUGCCAAUCUAGGAGAUCUGCAAAUAUAAAUCCAAAUUGACUCCUGGUUCAGCUGAUUCUUCAACUUCAGAUGUAUCGUUUGUGAAGGAGUCAAUUGUUGACAUUGAAUUUCUGGAGAUGCACAAUCCUCUUGGGAUUAUAUUGGACAAUUUCAAUGUGUUAUUGCGGAGACAACAUGAGGCUCAUUAAAUCUUGAGAAUCUUGGACUAGAGGGAUCUGACAUUCAAGGGGAUAUCUUCUUUGAACUUUGAUGCACAUGGCAGAGUAAGGUUGGCUCAACUUGAAGAAUAGACAAGAUUCCAUUAUUAGCAGCGUCCUUGCUUGUUGGUGAGUGCAAAGGUAUCGAUAGGGCUAUGAAUGACAUCCACCAAUCCAGCAAGCUGGGCUGGAAAUGCUAAAAUCUUAGGGACCCUACAUGAUGCCCAACCAUACAUGAUCAGCAAUGGAGAUUUAUGUAGCUGAGGUAACUUUUCAAAAGUUGAGACACAUUUAUACAAAUUUGUAUGAAUAUUUCCAAUAUUUGAGACACUCUAAGCUUCAUCAAGAUUUCAUGCACUUGGAGCCUAGUAAUAUAUUGAGUUCGUCAUUUCUUUUGAUAAUUGAUUGCUUU
This 2917-nucleotide long non-coding RNA is filed under the name Solanum tuberosum (potato). Its description in RNAcentral is "long non-coding RNA (STUB_LNC010942)". Lineage: Eukaryota; Viridiplantae; Streptophyta; Magnoliopsida; Solanales; Solanaceae. The record is from RNAcentral.